CUUUUAGAUAGAGCCCAACCCAACAAAGAAGCCUGGUGUGGUGUUUGAUGAUAAGUAGGGUUCUUUUCUUUUAACUAUAAAUUAUUGUUUCUCUCUUAUCGAUUGAUCUUCUACCAUCAAAUUAGGGUUUCUUCUUCAUCUCCAUUGUAACACAACAUCAUGAGGGCUAAGGUAACAACAACAUCUUUAACUCUUUCUAUCUCUUAAUCUAUUACAAUUGUUGUUCUCUUUCUAUCUCUUAAUCUAUUAAAAUUGUUGUUAGUAAUGUGUAGGUUUUGAUAUAUUGUGUGAUUUGUUUGUUUGUUAUUUGAUUUAUACAACAGUGGAAGAAGAAGCGAAUGAGGAGAUUGAAGAGGAAGCGUCGAAAGAUGAGACAGAGAUCCAAGUAGAUUGAUCGAAAUUAAAGUUUUAUGUUUUUGUUUUGUUUUAGUCGGUAGAUAUAUGUAUCGAUAUCGGAGUUUUCUUUUUAGAUCGGAAACGAUUUCACUUUCGGCGGAUGAAUCGGAAUCGGAAUAGCUACUAAAAUAGUAGUUUUAUGUUUAUCGUAAUUUGUAUCGGAUUUUAUGGGUUUUUUCCUAAUAUCGGAAGAAUCGGAUUAGUAGCUUAUGGUUAUGGUUAUUUGGAUGAAUGUUUGAUUUGAUUAAUUAGUUUGAUUUAGUUUUUAAUUUUUUAUUAAAUUGAAAAGAUAGCAUGGCCUGAGAUUAAGAUUAGUUUCAUAAUUCCUUUAUUCAUGAUUUGCCCCUUGUUUGCGGUUUUUAUUUAAGCAAUUUUUAUCACUAAAAUUAGUCAUGCUUUCACACUAAAAACCUUUACAUGAUAG
Molecule: long non-coding RNA, 820 nt
Filed under: Aquilegia coerulea
Lineage: Eukaryota; Viridiplantae; Streptophyta; Magnoliopsida; Ranunculales; Ranunculaceae
Description: long non-coding RNA (ACOE_LNC000294)
Source: RNAcentral